ACUGCUGCGGUGUUCGCUCCCAGGCUCACCCCCCUCUCUGUCAAAGCCCAAAAAACCCAAGUGAACAGGUGAAGCAAACAAAUAUGCUACAUAUGUUACA
Etheostoma spectabile (orangethroat darter) is the source of this 100-nucleotide long non-coding RNA. RefSeq lists it as uncharacterized. The record is from RefSeq and is a predicted model, not a curated record. Lineage: Eukaryota; Metazoa; Chordata; Actinopteri; Perciformes; Percidae. The transcript has 3 exons.